RNAcentral lists this ribosomal RNA (497 nucleotides) under uncultured bacterium. RNAcentral's name for it is "partial 16S ribosomal RNA". It matches the Rfam family "Bacterial small subunit ribosomal RNA", at positions 28 to 507 of the family's 1533-position model. The record is from RNAcentral.
GAUGAACGCUGGCGGCGUGCCUAAUACAUGCAAGUCGAGCGAACGGACGAGAAGCUUGCUUUUCUGAUGUUAGCGGCGGACGGGUGAGUAACACGUGGAUAACCUACCUAUAAGACUGGGAUAACUUCGGGAAACCGGAGCUAAUACCGGAUAAUAUUUUGAACCGCAUGGUUCAAAAGUGAAAGACGGUCUUGCUGUCACUUAUAGAUGGAUCCGCGCUGCAUUAGCUAGUUGGUAAGGUAACGGCUUACCAAGGCAACGAUGCAUAGCCGACCUGAGAGGGUGACCCGCAACCCGGUAACAGAGACCCGCCCCACACCCCUCCGGGGGCCACCGGAGGGAACUCUCCCGCAAUGGCCAAAAGCCUGAGGGGGCACCGCCGCGUAAGUAAUAAAGUUCUUCGGUCCGUAAAAUUUUUUUAUUGGGAAAAAACUUAUUUGUAAUUAACUGUCCACAUCUUGACGGUACCUAACAAGAAACCAACGGCUAACUACGUG